Molecule: ribosomal RNA, 253 nt
Filed under: uncultured bacterium
Lineage: Bacteria
Also listed under: 1 other name
Description: partial 16S ribosomal RNA
Rfam family: Bacterial small subunit ribosomal RNA
Source: RNAcentral
GACGAACCGUGCGAACGUUGUUCGGAAUCACUGGGCUUAAAGGGCGCGUAGGCGGUCAAUCCAGUCGGGGGUGAAAUCUUGCAGCUUAACUGUAAAAGUGCCUUCGAUACUGAUUGACUCGAGGGAGGUAGGGGCAGGUGGAACUUCCAGUGGAGCGGUGAAAUGUGUUGAUAUUGGAAGGAACGCCGGUGGCGAAAGCGACCUGCUGGAUCUCUUCUGACGCUGAGGCGCGAAAGCUAGGGGAGCAAACGGG